GUGACAAUAAAAGUCAAACACUCGGUGGUUGCCGGAGUCCUGGCUGGUUAUUAGUAUGUAAAUGAAAUCAUCACAGCUGUUCUAUGCGCGGAGAGGGGGAGAGCGGAGACAACAAACCCUGCAUUCUGAUGCUGUCUCCUGAACAACCAUCAGGCGCUGGCCACCUCUUCCAUACCCUGCAGUCAAGCAAUAAUGCAUGCACAAGUGCUUUUAUGCAUGCAAUUAAAUUAUGGCUAAAAUAUAGUGUACACAUAUACAGGAGAUGAUUUUUUUCAAAGUGACCUACAAAUGAAGAAUCCAACAAAGUGUGUCAUCCCGAGACAUCCCGACCAUCCUGACACAGCAACAUCAGGUCAACCAAUGGGAUGACUCUUGGAAUCAGACAGUGGUUAAACUUUCACGCUGAAGACAUGCAGACGUGAUCGCCAGAAUGUUGCACCUGAUUCCUGAACCCAGAGGAGAAUUUUAGAUUCAGAUGUUGCUCUUUUAAGGCUCCAGAGACUCCAAGGCAUCAUGAAAUUUACAUUAUUUACUUUUGCAAUACAUGUCUGUGGUCUCAUCGUGCAUGAUUCAUCAGUACACGCUGUUUGAAAGGACAAAAAGAAAAGCCCUUCCAAACUGAAUUGCUCACAGGCUGCUCAUUCACAUCGCAAAAGACCUAAUGGAGAUCCUUGUUAUGUUUCAUAAAUGUCAAAACACAAGUGAAGAAGAAGAUAAACAAU
This is a long non-coding RNA of Cyprinus carpio carpio, 722 nucleotides long. NCBI's taxonomy places the organism in Eukaryota, Metazoa, Chordata, Actinopteri, Cypriniformes, Cyprinidae. The record is from Ensembl.